RNAcentral lists this ribosomal RNA (497 nucleotides) under uncultured bacterium. Its description in RNAcentral is "partial 16S ribosomal RNA". It matches the Rfam family "Bacterial small subunit ribosomal RNA", at positions 28 to 507 of the family's 1533-position model. The record is from RNAcentral.
GAUGAACGCUGGCGGCGUGCCUAAUACAUGCAAGUCGAGCGAACGGACGAGAAGCUUGCUUCUCUGAUGUUAGCGGCGGACGGGUGAGUAACACGUGGAUAACCUACCUAUAAGACUGGGAUAACUUCGGGAAACCGGAGCUAAUACCGGAUGAUAUUUUGAACCGCAUGGUUCAAAAGAGAGAUACGGUGUUGCUGGCACUUAUAGAUGGAUCCGCGCUGCAUUAGCUAGUUGGUAAGGUAACGGCUUACCAAGGCAACGAUGCAUAGCCGACCGGAGAGGCUGAUCGGCCACCCUGGAACUGAGCCAGCGUCAAGACUCCUAAGGGAGGCAGCAGUCGGGUAUCGUCCGCAAUGGGCGAGAGCCUUACGGAACAACGCCGCGUGAGAGAUGAAGGUCUUCGGAUCGUGAUACUCUGUUAUUAGGGAAGAACAUAUGUGUAAGUAACUGUGCAGAUCUUGACGGUACCUAAUAAGAAAGCCACGGCUAACUACGUG